RNAcentral lists this ribosomal RNA (309 nucleotides) under Triticum aestivum (bread wheat). Its description in RNAcentral is "partial small subunit ribosomal RNA". Lineage: Eukaryota; Viridiplantae; Streptophyta; Magnoliopsida; Poales; Poaceae. The record is from RNAcentral.
GUCACGCACGCCGGGUGGGCAUCGGUGCUGGAGGGCGUGUCCGGUGGCGUGCCCAUGGCGUGCCGUCCCUUCUUCAGUGACCAGAGGAUGAACGCGCGGCUGGUGGCAGACGUCUGGUGUUUCGGCAUGGUCUUUGAGAAGCCCAUGACGCGCGGGACCGUGAAGGCGGCGGUGUCGUCGCUGCUCGCUGGUGAUCAGGGGAUCAGGAUGCAAGAGAUGCGGGGUAUAGCUGCCAACGCGUUCGCGCCGGACGGCGGUAGUAGGAAGAACCUGGAUAAGCUUGUCAAGAUUGUCUGCCCACAAGUGUGA